RNAcentral lists this non-coding RNA (188 nucleotides) under Asticcacaulis excentricus. The record is from RNAcentral. Lineage: Bacteria; Pseudomonadati; Pseudomonadota; Alphaproteobacteria; Caulobacterales; Caulobacteraceae.
CCCCGACACUGUGCAGACGGUGCCGCAGAGAUGCGGCUUAAAAGGGAAGCAGGUGCAAGGCCUGCGCUGUCCCCGCAACUGUAAGCGUCGAGUGUUCCGCCAUAUGCCACUGGUUGUCUUUGUACCGGGAAGGCGGCGAAACGCGCCUGAGACGCGAGUCAGGAGACCUGCCCCUGCUGUCGUCCUUC